RNAcentral lists this ribosomal RNA (405 nucleotides) under uncultured bacterium. Its description in RNAcentral is "partial 16S ribosomal RNA". It matches the Rfam family "Bacterial small subunit ribosomal RNA", at positions 28 to 526 of the family's 1533-position model. The record is from RNAcentral.
GAUGAACGCUGGCGGCGUGCCUAAUACAUGCAAGUCGAGCGAAGAGGGGACGGGUGAGUAACACGUGGAGAACAUGCUAUAAGACUGGGAAAACAUCGGGAAACCGGAGCUAAACCGGAUAAUUAUAGAUGGAUGCGCGCUGCAUUAGCUAGUGGGUAAGGUAACGGCUUACCAAGGCAACGAUGCCUAGCCGACCUGAGAGGGUGAUCAGCCACACUGGAACUGAGACACGGUCCAGACUCCUACGGGAGGCAGCAGUAGGGAAUCUUCCACAAUGGGCGAAAGCCUGACACAGCAACGCCGCGUGAGUGAUGAAGGCCUUCGGAUCGUAAAGCUCUGUUAUUGGGGAGGCGUUACCUGCUCAGAAAGCCCCGGCUAACUCCGUGCCAGCCGCCGCGGUAAUUC